GUCUGCGCGCGGCAUGGUCGUCCUCCGGAGCACCAAAGGCGCAGAAAACAUAACUUGUGCGCUCACGCGUACCCUAUGCGGGAUUACGGGCGCGGCUCUCUGCUCGUCCCUCCAUCCCCGGGUGUUGUACCCGGCAUGCGGGCCGCCGGGACCCGGGGCUUCACCGCCUCGACCCGGCACCGUGCCACAACAUACCGCGAGUGUGCAGGAUGUGACCCGAAAGAUGGUGAACUAUGCCUGAUCAGGUUGAAGUCAGGGGAAACCCUGAUGGAGGACCGAAGCAGUUCUGACGUGCAAAUCGAUUGUCAGAAUUGGGCAUAGGGGCGAAAGACCAAUCGAACCAUCUAGUAGCUGUUUCCCUUCCGAA
Molecule: ribosomal RNA, 367 nt
Filed under: Aedes annandalei
Lineage: Eukaryota; Metazoa; Arthropoda; Insecta; Diptera; Culicidae
Description: eukaryotic LSU rRNA
Rfam family: Eukaryotic large subunit ribosomal RNA
Source: RNAcentral